Long non-coding RNA from Poecilia latipinna (sailfin molly), 1126 nucleotides. RefSeq lists it as uncharacterized. Lineage: Eukaryota; Metazoa; Chordata; Actinopteri; Cyprinodontiformes; Poeciliidae. The record is from RefSeq and is a predicted model, not a curated record. The transcript is spliced from 3 exons.
ACUGUAUGAGAUGUAGGACGGCUAUAAGUAGAUAAAGGCCAAUAGCGGACGAUUUUCGUAAAGGGACAGGAUGCCUGAGAGCCAGAGGGCUCCGAGCUUCAGCCGGGAGACCCAAGGUGAUCGAUGGAUCCACGGCGGAUGACAACAUGAAGCUUUUCUUGCGCAGUCCAGCACACAGGCAGGGGAGGUUGAUACUUAUUGUUUUGGGUUUGCUGGUUUUGGUGAUAUUCUCCCUGCUGCUGAUGCAGACGAGGACAGAGGAACCUUUUCAGUUUCAUGUCAAUUCUGCACAUAAACAGGUGAGGGAAGCUCAACGUAGCACAUUGCAACCACUUCAAGCUUUUCACGACAAGAGUUGUCUGGAUUUUCAAUCUGUUCUUCUAAAAUAAAUUUUUUUAUGUAAAUAUGAAUCAAUUUUUUAUGAGUUUUCCAAAGUGCUCAAGAAUGAUACAAAUAUGACCCAUCCAGCACAAGUGGUGGAUGCAGAUGGAGACCUUUUUAUAUUAUUAUCAUUAUUUGUAAUCAGUGUAACAUUAUUUCCAACUUGAUUUUCUUACAAUGGAAAAUGUCAAUCACGACACAGUAUUUGUAUUUUCAUAACCGAUCUUUUAUAAUGAGUAGAACCGCGACUACCCUGAGGCUUUGACGGAGAAACCGACUUUGGUGCUUGGAUAUCAGCUUUUAUGCUCCCAGGUGUAAAAACAAUACCUUGUUGCCACGGUUACGCAUCAUAACUGUUGGAAAGUUAAAAAAGAAAGAUCAAAAAUCCUUCCAGCUGCACAGUAACUUAUUCAAAACAAUGAUGCCUGAAUCCGUGAAAUAUUGAACAAAUUAGAACUAAUGUAACGCAUCAAAUCCAACAUGCUGCCACAGUUCUGUAAGGAAUAAUUUAUUAAAAAUGGAUGAUCAGUCGAGUCAAUGCAAUCCUAGCAGCAUAGAAUAAUUAUAUAUAUAAAAAAUAAAAUUCCCCUCUCACCCUCCGCGGGUGGUCUCUCUUUCAUCCUCUGAGCUCGGGUCCUCUACCAGAGGCCUGGGAGCUUGAGGGUUCUACGCAGUAUCUUGGCUUAGCAUAGUACUGCACAUUUCUGGACUGAGAUGUCUGAUGUUGUUCCUGGGAUCUGUUUGA